CCUACGGGUGACAGCAGUGAGGAAUAUUGGUCAAUGGGCGCGAGCCUGAACCAGCCAAGUCGCGUGCAGGAUGACGGCCCUACGGGUUGUAAACUUCUUUUGUACGGGAGUAAAGCGCCUUACGCGUGGCGCUCUGCGAGUACCGGAAGAAUAAGCAUCGGCUAAUUCCGUGCCAGCAGCCGCGGUAAUACGGAGGCUGCGGGCGUUAUCCGGAUUUAUUGGGUUUAAGGGGUGGGCAGGCGGAAGACCAAGUCAGCGGUAAAAUUGCGGGGCUCAACCCCUGCGAGCCGUGGGAACUGGUGUUCUUGAGUGAGCGGAAAGUAUGCGGAAUGCGUGGUGUAGCGGUGAAAUGCUUAGAUAUGACGAAGAACUCCGAUUGCGAAGGCAGCUUGCCGGCGCUCAACUGACGCUCAUGCUCGAAAGUGUGGGUAUCGAACAGGAUUAGAUACCCUAGUAGUC
This 459-nucleotide ribosomal RNA is filed under the name uncultured bacterium. RNAcentral's name for it is "partial 16S ribosomal RNA". It matches the Rfam family "Bacterial small subunit ribosomal RNA", at positions 338 to 795 of the family's 1533-position model. The record is from RNAcentral.